ACUCCUACGGGAGGCAGCAGUGGGAAUAUUGCACAAUGGGGGAAACCCUGAUGCAGCAACGCCGCGUGGAGGAUGACACAUUUCGGUGCGUAAACUCCUUUUAUAUAGGAAGAUAAUGACGGUACUAUAUGAAUAAGCGCCGGCUAAACUCCGUGCCAGCAGCCGCGGUAAUACGGAGGGCGCAAGCGUUACUCGGAAUCACUGGGCGUAAAGAGCGUGUAGGCGGAUCGAUAAGUCAGGAGUGAAAUCCUAUGGCUCAACCAUAGAACUGCUCUUGAAACUGUCAAUCUAGAGUAUGGGAGAGGUAGAUGGAAUUUCUGUGUAGGGGUAAAAUCCGUAGAGAUCAGAAGGAAUACCGAUUGCGAAGGCGAUCUACUGGAACAUAACUGACGCUGAGACGCGAAAGCGUGGGAGCAAACAGGAUUAGAUACCCUGGUAGGUCAGU
RNAcentral lists this ribosomal RNA (445 nucleotides) under uncultured bacterium. RNAcentral describes it as "bacterial SSU rRNA". It matches the Rfam family "Bacterial small subunit ribosomal RNA", at positions 335 to 798 of the family's 1533-position model. The record is from RNAcentral.